This 3066-nucleotide long non-coding RNA is filed under the name Homo sapiens (human). Its description in RNAcentral is "HSALNT0045083". Lineage: Eukaryota; Metazoa; Chordata; Mammalia; Primates; Hominidae. The record is from RNAcentral.
AUUUUUUUUUCUUUUUAUGUGCCCUGUUAAGCCUUGGAAAACAAAGAUAAAAUCUGAGCUUCCUGCAAGUUUUACCUACUCAGCCACUUACUUUCCAGGAUCCUUCAUCAUGAAAGCAAUUGUAUGGGGUAUACAAGAUGCAUGGCAGUGGUGGUUGGAGAAAAUUGCCAUGGGAUUGGCACAUGGAUUGGCACUGAGCACAGGGAUAUGAAACUUCAUGCUCAUGAUUGCAAUUCAGGAAGCCAAAGGGCAAAGGAAGUAUUGUAUGGGGUUUGUGAUCUAAGUAUUAAGAAACCAAAAUGCAAAUACUAAUAAACAUGGAACCAAAAAGACUUUAUGUAUGGAGCAGUGCAAAGCUGGUACAAGAGCUGUGAAUCCUCAAGAAUGCAACCUCUACUGUGAGUAUGCUGGAAGAAAUUAAUGAUGCUAAGGUGGAAAGUCCUCCAUUUUGAGACACUUACUAAUUUUCUGCUACCUUUCAUGGGAUUUUUUUUUAUCAUCUAUGCCAUGCUGUACCAGGAAGCAAAGAGAACUUUCAUCCACACUGUUGACAACUUUUGUGCAUGAAGUUGGCAACUUGCAGCACCUGGCAGCUCCUAGUGGCCCUGACACAUUGAGCCCCUGCUGGUCCUUGCUCACGUACUAUUUCAACAGUUUGUCUCUCCCAGCGACAACCUUCCUGGUGUUCCAAAAGCUCUCAUUUUUUAAUGUAAUUUUUCAAAACUCUUUAUUAUCAGCCUUACCAAAUAGUCAAUAUUUUCACAUCAAUAGUAGACUUGACUCUCUCUAGGUAAGUUUUCGGCUAUUUUCCUCCCAACUGUUCAUGUUUAUGGACAUCUAUAGAGCUGUGUUUACAAUCACCUUUAACCUAAAAUCUCAUGACUACUAUUGGGCCCUACAGUAAAUAUUUACUGUCGAUUAGGAUAUGGGAUGCUCCAAGCCCAGAACUCAGAGGUUGUAAAGUCAUGAUCCGGACAGCACUAUUUUGAACUGAAUAAGGUUAUUGAUGAUUAGUGCAAUUACAAUAAUAAUAUCUGCAUGACGUUUUAUAUCUUAUGAAAUACUUUUACGAUACUUGUGUCUCUUGAGCUACGCAACUUACUAAGGUAGUGGAACACAAAUUUGUAUUAAUUUCUAUUUACAGGUGGGAGAAAUUGAGGCCCUACAAGGUUAGAUGACUUGCUCAGGAUCAACAAUUGUUAAAUGUCAGAGCAGGGAUUCAGAACCAGGACAUAUGACUCCAAGUCUAAUAUUCAUUCCACCAUGUAUCACCGUGGCCUUUUCCUGUCUUGAGCCUACAUUAGAAUUGAAGUCUCAAACUAAAGGGCACUCACCAUUUUGCUGGCAUAACUGAGCAGCUGAAUGUCACUCUUGAGGCUUUCAGUCUUGCAUCUUUAUAGUUGUUUCACAAUUGCCUGGUCUUUACAUCUCCUAAAUGCCUUUCAUAUAUAUAAUAAAUGUCAGAGACAGUGGUUGGUCAUUUUCAUUUGACUUCUUAAUGAUUUGAUGAAGAAUGUACAAGUGGCCUGUGUAUACUCGCUUCAGAGGUCAGCUUGAAGCAGCAAGUCACUGUAAAGAUAAGCAUUUAGCCAUUAUAUUCAUUCAUUUUAGGCAAGGAUGGUAGUUUAUCAUUUACUCCUCUUCUUUGGAGCUGAUAAAGAGAUGACUCCUUGGGCUUAAUUAUCAUGAAAGAGGAAGAUAUUGUCCUCUUUAUAGGAAUCAGAGCUGUAUGUCGCAAGGGCUGUGAAUAAAGUACCUACUCCAGAAAGUCCGAACAGGUCCCUAAGACUAUCUCCUUUUAUGUGUAUUUAAGACGACUGAUUUGGGGCCACCCUUUGAGAAGGCUAGGAUGAGGAUACUUCAUUUUACAUCAGACUUGGGCACUCAGGGCUCAUAUUAACUCCAGCUUCUUCCAGUACAAAAUGAAAUGAAAUAUAUUGACUAAACGCUGAACAGUUCUCUAUUAACCCCCUCACUUUCAUGCAUGUCCUCAUUCCUCCAAAGCAUCUUUCCUCCAGACUAGAUGACAGGGUAUGUUUUUUAAUACAAAGACUUCUUUCCAAUUAAGAAAAGGAGGGGGGGCUAGGCUCCCACAUGAAAAUAAUUGUAAUUUUUGGAAUUUUUAUAUCUGUUCAACAAGAAAAUACAGAAUAACAAAAGGCUUCUGUGAAUUCAAUACAGUGUUUAAAAAGACAAUUUUGUGUCUUAUUCACCAUGAUAUUAUCAACACACUUUUGAGAAAAAAAGUAGGUAGUAUAUUAUGCAAGACAUAUUUAUGUUUCGUCUACAUAUGGAUUCACAACCAUCCUCCCACCCAUAUCUCCUUCCUCCCUUGACUCACAAGUUGGAAAUAACUGAUCUAGAUAUUUUGCUUCUCAGACUAUUCCAUUUUCUGAGCAGUCUUCACAGCCCUUCUCUAGGUAUAGAGGCCAAACUUUAGGACACACAGAGUGAAGGGCAUCGCCUGGGCAGAUGGAAUAGUUUCAGGAGCUUUCAUUCAUCUCUUUAGCAAACACUUCAAGCACCUUGAAGUGCCAAGCUAGGACUAGGUGGAGGUGAUUUCUGGGGACUUCUCUACCUACUGAUGUCUGAAAUUGCACUAGUCAGAACCACAUUCCUUUGCUAUAAAGUUUAGAUUUCUCAACGUUCCAAUUUCCCUGACAAAGGUAAUAGUAAGUUGUUAGUUGUUUCUCAAUUGUAGCUACACAAUAAAAUUACCUGGGAAACUUUGAAAAGACUAGCAGUGUCUGAGUCCCAACCCAAGCCAAUUAAAUUAGAUCCUAUGGAAAAUGGGAACCCACACACUGUUUUUUUGUACUGCUUUGUUUUGUCUUUAAGUUUCCAGAUGAUCUAAUGGGUUUCUGAGUGAGAACGUCUUGUUUCUCAAAGUCUCUAAAGGACUUAAAGGAGGAGAAAGGUAACAAGGAGAAUGUGGGGAAAGCCUGUAAAUAUGAACGGGCCCUGGAACUUGGAUCAGUAGAGCAGGGUAGAGGAGGAAAUCGUGAAGGCAAAUUUCUUCAAUCUCAUAUCUACACCCUCAACUUGUGGCCCCUCCCUAAACUGAAC